RNAcentral lists this transfer RNA (71 nucleotides) under Capra hircus (goat). It matches the Rfam family "tRNA". From Rfam's summary of the family: Transfer RNA (tRNA) molecules are approximately 80 nucleotides in length. Their secondary structure includes four short double-helical elements and three loops (D, anti-codon, and T loops). The record is from Rfam by way of RNAcentral. Lineage: Eukaryota; Metazoa; Chordata; Mammalia; Artiodactyla; Bovidae. RNAcentral also lists the same sequence under 1 other name.
UCCUAGUGGCUUAGAUGGUAAAGCAUCUGCCUGCAAUGCGGGACACCCGGGUUCAAUCCCUGGGUCAGGAA